AAAACAUGCGGAUCCCAGGGGAUCUGGGUCGACCCUAAGACGGAGUCGUUUUGGGGCAUUUCAGACCACCUUGAAACGGUGCUGUUUUGACGCCCUAUUUAAGUAAAAAAUGUUAAAAAAAAUUUCAUUUCUAAAUUGUUAAAAAAAAACUACUUUGCCCCCCCUUUUUUUUUUCUCUGAAAGGGCCUUUGAGUCCAGUCAUAGGAACGGCAGGCCUCCGUCGUGGUCGCCGGCGACGGUGACUACCGUUUCUA
RNAcentral lists this long non-coding RNA (254 nucleotides) under Gossypium barbadense (sea-island cotton). Its description in RNAcentral is "long non-coding RNA (GBAR_LNC022764)". The record is from RNAcentral. Lineage: Eukaryota; Viridiplantae; Streptophyta; Magnoliopsida; Malvales; Malvaceae.